UCACUGCAGCUGCUUGAUCCCUACGCUACCUUCUCAACCUAUAUUUCUUCCUCCAUUUCCACUCUCCUCCUCGCCCGCUUCCUCAUCCUCCAUCCUUUUCUAUUCUUCACCACUCCACUUCCCAAACCUUUCAUCAAGAUGUCGUGGCAAACCUAUGUUGAUGACCAUCUCAUGUGCGAAAUUGAAGGCAAUCAUCUCACUGCCGCUGCUAUCCUCGGCCAAGACGGCAGCGUUUGGGCUCAGAGUGCCACCUUCCCUCAGUUCAAGCCCGAAGAAAUUACUGCCAUAAUGACUGAUUUUGCUGAGCCUGGUACGCUUGCACCAACUGGCUUAUACCUUGGUGGCACAAAGUAUAUGGUGAUCCAAGGUGAACCAGGGGCUGUCAUUCGAGGCAAAAAGGGCUCUGGUGGUGCCUGUAUUAAGAAGACCAUUCAGGCUUUGAUCAUUGGUAUAUAUGAUGAGCCUCUGACUCCUGGUCAGUGCAACAUGAUUGUUGAAAGGCUGGGUGAUUAUCUCAUUGAUCAGGGUCUUUAGUUGCUUCGGAAAGUGUGGUAGUUUCUUCAGGCAAUCCUAAUGAAAGCAAUCCCAUCUCAGCAAUUAGUAGCUGGCUUACAACUGCUAUAACACCCCAUGCCACAGUGGAUAUGAAGUGAGAAACAACCACCUCCUUUACACCCCCACGCUCGACUCUUCCCAUUUCCUACCAAUAGUCACUGCAAGUACAUACCCCAUCUUUAAAAUGAUGGAAGCGGCUACGAUCCCGCACAAUAAUCUCCCGCUUCACAAUCCCAGAAAUUAUCUUUGCUGCAUCAUGACAGUCAUUACAAAUUCGUAGAUUCUUAACAACUCGAAUUGUGGUUCCUUCACUAGUGCUGAUAAGCCCAAAUGCAAUUGCCAACUUCUCACUGUGAAUUGACAAAGCAUCCUCCUUCUCUUCUUCAUCAAUGCUAUGCACUACGAGCUGCAUCCAGGAGUUCUCAGCACCCCAUUCUCUCGCAUUCUCAACCUGCACUUUGCAGCAUCAUCUAAUCUACCCAUUGAAGAAUAAACAUUGGCGAGAUAAACAUAGCUUCCAGAAUGGUCAGAAUCUAGCUCAAGAAUAUGUUGAACGACUCGCUGUCCUCUUCCACUGUCCCUGUAAAUCCGACAACCACCAAGCAAUGCACCCCAAAUUAUGACAUUGGGUUUCAUAGGCAUUGAGCUGAUCAUAUCCUCUGCUUUGUCGAGUUCACCAGCACGGCUGAGAAGAUCAACCACACAACCAUAAUGUUCAACCUUGGGGCUGACUCCAUACUCCUUGUCCAUAGUAUUGAAACAAUUGAGCCCCUUCUUGACCAACCCUGCAUGAGUACAUGCUGUUAACAAUCCCAUGAAAACAACAUCAUUUGGCUUUACUCCACAGUCCAGCAUUUCAUAAAAGCAUCCAAAAGCUUCAUCUGCAUGUCCGUACAUGGCCAACCCACAUAUGAUUAUACUCCAUGAGAUCACAUCUCUCUCUUCCAUCUUAUUGAAUACCCUUCUAGCCUCCGCUAUGCAUCCACACUUUGCAUACAUAUCUGCCAGUGCAUUCCCCAAGAACAAGCCCAAGGCCAUCCCUCUCCGACUGAUAAAUCCAUCAAUCCACUUCCCCAGAUCAAGUGCACCAAGAUGCGCACAAGCCGGCAACACACUAACAAGGGUAACAUCAUUUGGCACCACACCACCGAAUUGUUGCAUCAUCCGGAACACCUCAAUAGCAUCACUAUACUUCUCAUUCUGUGCAUACCCUGCAAUCAUGGCAUUCCAACAAACCACAUUCCUCUCCGGCAUCUCAUCAAAAAGCCGCCGAGCAUCCUCCAAUCUACCCAUCCGCGCAUACCCGCUAAUCAACGUCGACCAAGAAACGAAAUUCUUCUCGCGCAUCCUAUCAAACACCCAUCUAGCCUCGUCCGCACACCCACACAAGCAAUACCCAGAAACCAAAGUGUUCCAAGAAACCACAUCUCUCACAAACAUUUCAUCGAACAGAUGCCGUGCAAUCAAAAGAUAACCCGCUUUGAAAUACAUAUCUAUGAGCGAAUUCCGAACAAAGAGAUUGGAUUCAAACCCUUGUUUGGUGACCAUGGCGUGGAUUUUCUGGCCGUUGACAACGUGGGCAAGGCCAGCACAGGCCUUGAGCACAGAAGUGAAAGUGAACUCAUCUGGGUUCGGGGCAUUGGGCGAUGAAACUUGGUGGUUAAAGAACUGGAUUGCAUGGAACCAGUGACUGUUUUGAGCUAAAGCUUUGAGAGUGGCGUUGUGGGCGAAUAUAUUGGGGCUGGCGAGGUGGGCGAAGAUGAGAGCGGCCUGGCGCACGUUAGCGUGGUCGGCGCAAGCGCCAAUGAGCUUGACGGCGAUGAGGUUUGGGUCGACGACGGAGGAGGGGAUUGGAGAGGUGAUCAGCUGAGCUUGGAUUUGGAGGACCUGCGCCAUUGUGAGGUGGCCGCCGCAUUUUAGCAGGAGACUCGUGAGUCUCUGGUGGCGGUGGUGGUGGUGGAGAGCCACCGUGGGCUAGCUCUCUGGGUUGACACGGUUACUGAAUCAAUAAUAGGGCGCUGGUUCCUUUUCUUUCCACCGUGUCAUUGGCCUUGAUUAGAACAACGAUUGCAGGGUUGGUUGGUUCGAACAAAUUUUGCGCGCAAUAAAUAAACACAUCUUUAUAUAUA
Vitis riparia (riverbank grape) is the source of this 2684-nucleotide RNA transcript. It is a transcript of the gene named profilin-1, with no coding region annotated. The transcript is spliced from 5 exons. The record is from RefSeq and is a predicted model, not a curated record. Lineage: Eukaryota; Viridiplantae; Streptophyta; Magnoliopsida; Vitales; Vitaceae.